This 955-nucleotide long non-coding RNA is filed under the name Chinchilla lanigera (long-tailed chinchilla). RNAcentral's name for it is "lncRNA (ENSCLAG00000028725.1)". Lineage: Eukaryota; Metazoa; Chordata; Mammalia; Rodentia; Chinchillidae. The record is from RNAcentral.
CUUAGAGACUUAGGCCUGGGUGUUCUUGCCAGUGUGAAUGGGCAGGAUGGUGUAGUGAGGGUUCUGUGCAAAAGAGAAUUGCAAGGCUCCAAGUGAAACCCUGGAGUACAGGACAGUACUACAGUGUGCUGCCUUCCCUGUAAGAAAAGGAGGGAAAGGAUUUGCAUUGCUCAUAUGUACAUAAAAUAUCUACAGAAAGCUCCUCAGGAAACCGAAAAUAAUGGUCACCUCUCGGUAUCGGACCUGGAUGGAAAAACAUCAAAAAGAAAACUUAAAAGGGUCGCGGCAAUGGAGAAAGUGAACAUAAAGUACCUAACGCAAUGCCUGGCACAUAAAAGGUCUUGGUAAAUGAUCGUUAAUAAUCAACAGGGUUAUCAAUCCAAAUCAAGAGCAGAUAAUCUGCUUUGGCCUGGCCGUGAGGAAACAGGACUUAGAGACUUUCCUUCAAAUGCUCCUGCCCGCUGGAACUGCGUCAGCCAUCUAAGAAGUUGCUUUGCCAGCAGCAGCGCUGGUUUGUUAUCAAAGAGGUACCAGGCCUGCUUCCUGAGGCAUCACAGAGAAGAAGGUAAAGCUGCACAGUCGUCCUGAGACUCAAUGCCAUGUGCUGCCUGCAGUUGGAAAGCAAACCAUCUACACAGUGGAAUCCACGAGGAUUCAGUGGUGAUGUAUCUAAAAUUCAGGAAUCGUUACUUUGCUCUCCUUCACGAACCAGGAGCCUUUUCUCCCUCGAUGGCAGAAGGUCUUGGCUUGCACAGUGAGGGCUGCAGGUACAGUGGUUAAGAGGAACCAUGGCCACUGCUCCGAUUGCAUAGCAUCCAGUGCAAGACCAAAUGCGGGGAACCUGAUAGCAUCAAAUUCUAAAAUAAAAGUAUAAUAAUGGUGGAAGAAGGAUCUUUGUGCUUGUCUUAAUAGUGUUCAUAACACUUAUACUUACCGUGCUAGAAGGGAAGUACAC